CUCAUUAUCUCCCGGAUCAAUUUCGGCGCUCGUGCGCCUUUCAAUGUAGCUCACAAAGGCUGCGUCUGAGAGGAAUGCGAGUUGUAAAUGAUCCUUUUAGCGAAGCUUGACCGCCUCGCUAUCGGAACGAUCUUACGAAGCAAGCUGGUCUUUCUAAUCAUUGUCCGGCUGCAGAUAGCGUUCAUCGAGGGCGCGUGCCGCAAGGUAAUUCUGCAGACAACAUUCUGCCGAGUGUGUGGACAUUGAUAAUGAGAGCA
This 257-nucleotide unclassified non-coding RNA is filed under the name Bradyrhizobium sp. Sj4. RNAcentral describes it as "partial 23S-16S intergenic spacer". The record is from RNAcentral. Lineage: Bacteria; Pseudomonadati; Pseudomonadota; Alphaproteobacteria; Hyphomicrobiales; Nitrobacteraceae.